CGGGUGAGUAAUGUAUGGGGAUCUGCCUGAUGGGCGGGGGAUAACUACUGGAAACGGUAGCUAAUACCGCAUAAUGUCUGCGGACCAAAGCGGGGGACCUCCGGGCCUCGCGCCAUCAGAUGAACCCAUAUGGGAUUAGCUUGUAGGUAAGGUAACGGCUUACCUAGGCGACGAUCCCUAGCUGGUCUGAGAGGAUGAUCAGCCACACUGGGACUGAGACACGGCCCAG
RNAcentral lists this ribosomal RNA (229 nucleotides) under uncultured bacterium. Its description in RNAcentral is "partial 16S ribosomal RNA". It matches the Rfam family "Bacterial small subunit ribosomal RNA", at positions 103 to 334 of the family's 1533-position model. The record is from RNAcentral.